AUCUAUGGCCAUGCCACCCUGAACAAGCCCGAUCCCAUCUGAUCUUGGAAGCUAAGCAGGGUCGGGCAUGGUUAGUACUUGGAUGGGAGACCACCUAGGAAGACCAGGUGCUGUAGUGU
RNAcentral lists this ribosomal RNA (119 nucleotides) under Pteropus alecto (black flying fox). The record is from RNAcentral. Lineage: Eukaryota; Metazoa; Chordata; Mammalia; Chiroptera; Pteropodidae.